Molecule: unclassified non-coding RNA, 335 nt
Filed under: soil metagenome
Description: partial contains 5.8S ribosomal RNA, internal transcribed spacer 2, and large subunit ribosomal RNA
Rfam family: 5.8S ribosomal RNA (bases 1-119)
Source: RNAcentral
GAUGAAGACGCAGCGAAAUGCGAUAAGUAAUGUGAAUUGCAGAAUUCAGUGAAUCAUCGAAUCUUUGAACGCACAUUGCGCCCGCCAGUAUUCUGGCGGGCAUGCCUGUUCGAGCGUCAUUUCAACCAUCAAGCCCCCGGCUUGUGUUGGGGACCUGCGGCUGCCGCAGGCCCUGAAAAGCAGUGGCGGGCUCGCUGUCACACCGAGCGUAGUAGCAUACAUCUCGCUCUGGGCGUGCUGCGGGUUCCGGCCGUUAAACCACCUUCAUAACCCAAGGUUGACCUCGGAUCAGGUAGGAAGACCCGCUGAACUUAAGCAUAUCAAUAAGCGGAGGA